RNAcentral lists this transfer RNA (66 nucleotides) under Cacoplistes rogenhoferi. Its description in RNAcentral is "tRNA-Trp". Lineage: Eukaryota; Metazoa; Arthropoda; Insecta; Orthoptera; Phalangopsidae. The record is from RNAcentral.
AAGGCUUUAAGUUAAUUAAACUAAUAGCCUUCAAAGCUGCAAAUAAAACUACUAUUUUAAGCCUUA